This 274-nucleotide unclassified non-coding RNA is filed under the name soil metagenome. RNAcentral's name for it is "partial contains small subunit ribosomal RNA, internal transcribed spacer 1, and 5.8S ribosomal RNA". The record is from RNAcentral.
UUUCCGUAGGUGAACCUGCGGAAGGAUCAUUCACAAAAAAAGUGUUUAAUGGCACUUUCAAUCCAUUACCCACCUUGUGUGCAUUGUCGGGGGAGGACCCUUCUUUAUCUCAACCUUUUCUUCUCUCUUUCUCUCUCGGGAGAGAGAGAGGGGGGGUGGAGGGGAAAGAGAGGGGGAUCUCUUCUCAUACAUACUCUGUUCUUUCAGUAUCUGUCUACUUUUUUAGAGUUAUAGAACUCGAAUACAACUUUCAACAACGGAUCUCUUGGCUCUC